This 451-nucleotide ribosomal RNA is filed under the name Micromonas pusilla. RNAcentral describes it as "SSU rRNA". It matches the Rfam family "Eukaryotic small subunit ribosomal RNA", at positions 627 to 1088 of the family's 1831-position model. Lineage: Eukaryota; Viridiplantae; Chlorophyta; Mamiellophyceae; Mamiellales; Mamiellaceae. The record is from RNAcentral.
CUCGUAGUUGGAUUUCGGUUAAGAGCGACCGGUCCGCCGUUUGGUGUGCACUGGUUGGUUUUAACUUCCUGUAGAGGACGUGCUCUGGGCUUAACGGUCUGGACUCGGAGUCUACGUGGUUACUUUGAAAAAAUUAGAGUGUUCAAAGCGGGCUUACGCUUGAAUAUUUCAGCAUGGAAUAACACUAUAGGACUCCUGUCCUAUUUCGUUGGUCUCGGGACGGGAGUAAUGAUUAAGAGGAACAGUUGGGGGCAUUCGUAUUUCAUUGUCAGAGGUGAAAUUCUUGGAUUUAUGAAAGACGAACUUCUGCGAAAGCAUUUGCCAAGGAUGUUUUCAUUAAUCAAGAACGAAAGUUGGGGGCUCGAAGAUGAUUAGAUACCAUCCUAGUCUCAACCAUAAACGAUGCCGACUAGGGAUUGGCGGAUGUUAAUUGAUGACUCCGCCAGCACCU